GUCAGAGAGGCCUAGAACACGCUUAACCCCCAGUCUACCAUCGUAGCCUGAUGGCUUAUGCGGCCUUUUUGUGUGCCCUUUUAAAUUCUAGCUUACCAGCCACAUGACUUGGGCUUCUUCAGGCCUAAAAUAGGCCUCUGGCCACGUCUCCAAAGGAGUGCCCCGAAGCACACCGAGGGCUGGCUGCCAAGCUGGCCGAGUGAGACAAGUAUUUGAAGUAAGUGCUGGGUGUUUUGCUUACGGAUUCUUCUCCACCACCUCAUGGAGGCACAGAGAGCAAUCAGGGGCUGAAAUGGAUUCUCAAAUGAUGGAAGUGAGCAAUAGAGAUCAAUUAGUAGUAAUAGCACCAGCUGGAACAAAAAUCA
Molecule: long non-coding RNA, 365 nt
Filed under: Cavia porcellus (domestic guinea pig)
Lineage: Eukaryota; Metazoa; Chordata; Mammalia; Rodentia; Caviidae
Description: lncRNA (ENSCPOG00000031061.1)
Source: RNAcentral